GACGAACGCUGGCGGCGUGCCUAAUACAUGCAAGUUGAGCGCUGAAGGUUGGUACUUGUACCAACUGGAUGAGCAGCGAACGGGUGAGUAACGCGUGGGGAAUCUGCCUUUGAGCGGGGGACAACAUUUGGAAACGGAUGCUAAUACCGCAUAAAAACUUUAAACACAAGUUUUAAGUUUGAAAGAUGCAAUUGCAUCACUCAAAGAUGAUCCCGCGUUGUAUUAGCUAGUUGGUGAGGUAAAGGCUCACCAAGGCGAUGAUACAUAGCCGACCUGAGAGGGGGAUCGGCCACAUUGGGACUGAGACACGGCCCAAACUCCUACGGGAGGCAGCAGUAGGGAAUCUUCGGCAAUGGACGAAAGUCUGACCGAGCAACGCCGCGUGAGUGAAGAAGGUUUUCGGAUCGUAAAACUCUGUUGGUGGAGAAGAACGUUGGUGAGAGUGGAAAGCUCAUCAAGUGACGGUAACUACCCAGAAAGGGACGGCUAACUACGUG
Molecule: ribosomal RNA, 497 nt
Filed under: uncultured bacterium
Lineage: Bacteria
Description: partial 16S ribosomal RNA
Rfam family: Bacterial small subunit ribosomal RNA
Source: RNAcentral